GACGUAGGUCGCGAACGUUAUCCGGAAUUAUUGGGCGUAAAGGGUGCGUAGGCGGCAUAAUAAGUUAUUGGCGGGAAAUCGAGGCUCAACCUCGUGGAAACUGAUAAUACUGUUUUGCUUGAGUACAGGAGAGGUUAACGGAACUCCAUGUGGAGCGGUAAAAUGUGUAGAUAUAUGGAAGAACAUCAAUAACGGCGAAGGCAGUUAACUAUUCUGUUACUGACGUUGAGGCACGAAAGCGUGGGGAGCAAAAAGG
RNAcentral lists this ribosomal RNA (256 nucleotides) under uncultured bacterium. RNAcentral's name for it is "partial 16S ribosomal RNA". It matches the Rfam family "Bacterial small subunit ribosomal RNA", at positions 524 to 776 of the family's 1533-position model. The record is from RNAcentral.